Molecule: non-coding RNA, 80 nt
Organism: Caenorhabditis elegans
Lineage: Eukaryota; Metazoa; Nematoda; Chromadorea; Rhabditida; Rhabditidae
Source: Ensembl
UAGAAAAAAGUAUUCAACUAACAAAAUGUUCAGAAUUUUACGUAGAUCAUUUUUGUAGUUGAUAAUUUUUUGAUAACUCU